RNAcentral lists this ribosomal RNA (98 nucleotides) under Corynebacterium striatum. Its description in RNAcentral is "partial 16S ribosomal RNA". It matches the Rfam family "Bacterial small subunit ribosomal RNA", at positions 1445 to 1533 of the family's 1533-position model. The record is from RNAcentral. Lineage: Bacteria; Bacillati; Actinomycetota; Actinomycetes; Mycobacteriales; Corynebacteriaceae.
UUAGGGAGCUGUCGAAGGUGGGAUCGGCGAUUGGGACGAAGUCGUAACAAGGUAGCCGUACCGGAAGGUGCGGCUGGAUCACCUCCUUUCUAAGGAGC